This 865-nucleotide ribosomal RNA is filed under the name uncultured organism. RNAcentral describes it as "bacterial SSU rRNA". It matches the Rfam family "Bacterial small subunit ribosomal RNA", at positions 19 to 882 of the family's 1533-position model. The record is from RNAcentral.
CUGGCUCAGGAUGAACGCUAGCGACAGGCCUAACACAUGCAAGUCGAGGGGUAACAUGAGAGCUUGCUCUUGAUGACGACCGGCGCACGGGUGAGUAACGCGUAUGCAACCUUCCUUUAACUGGAGAAUAGCCCCCGGAAACGGGGAUUAAUGCUCCAUGGCACUCUGAAUACGCCUGUAUUAAGAGUUAAAGUUCCGACGGUUAAAGAUGGGCAUGCGUGACAUUAGCUAGUUGGCGGGGUAACGGCCCACCAAGGCAACGAUGUCUAGGGGUUCUGAGAGGAAGGUCCCCCACACUGGUACUGAGACACGGACCAGACUCCUACGGGAGGCAGCAGUGAGGAAUAUUGGUCAAUGGACGCAAGUCUGAACCAGCCAUGUCGCGUGCAGGAUGACUGCCCUAUGGGUUGUAAACUGCUUUUAUACGGGAAGAAAGGUAUCUACGUGUAGAUAUUUGCCGGUACCGUACGAAUAAGCAUCGGCUAACUCCGUGCCAGCAGCCGCGGUAAUACGGAGGAUGCGAGCGUUAUCCGGAUUUAUUGGGUUUAAAGGGUGCGUAGGCGGAAUGGUAAGUCAGCGGUGAAAUACUGCAGCUCAACUGUAGAACUGCCGUUGAUACUGUCAUUCUUGAGUAUAGAUGAGGUAGGCGGAAUGAGUAGUGUAGCGGUGAAAUGCAUAGAUAUUACUCAGAACACCAAUUGCGAAGGCAGCUUACUAAACUAUAACUGACGCUGAAGCACGAAAGCGUGGGUAUCAAACAGGAUUAGAUACCCUGGUAGUCCACGCCGUAAACGAUGAUUACUGGUUGUUUGCGAUACACAGUAAGCGACUGAGCGAAAGCAUUAAGUAAUCCACCUGGGGAGUA